GGUUAAGCGAAUAAGCGUACACGGUGGAUGCCUAGGCAAUCAGAGGCGAUGAAGGACGUGCUAAUCUGCGAAAAGCGUCGGUAAGGUGAUAUGAACCGUUAUACCCGACGAUAUCCGAAUGGGGAAACCCAGUAUCCAAUGGAUACUAUCAUUAACUGAAUCCAUAGGUUAAUGAGGCGAACCGGGAGAACUGAAACAUCUCAGUACCCCGAGGAAAAGAAAUCAACCGAGAUUCCCCUAGUAGCGGCGAGCGAACGGGGAGCAGCCCAGAGUCUUAAUCAAUAGCAGUGUCAGGAGAACGGUCUGGAAAGUCCGGCAGUAAAGGGUGAUAGCCCCGUAUCUGAAGAUGCUGUUAUUGUGAACUCGACGAGUAGGGCGGGACACGUGUUAUCCUGUCUGAAUAUGGGGGGACCAUCCUCCAAGGCUAAAUACUCCUGAUUGACCGAUAGUGAACCAGUACCGUGAGGGAAAGGCGAAAAGAACCCCGGCGAGGGGAGUGAAAAAGAACCUGAAACCGUGUACGUACAAGCAGUAGGAGCCUCUUUAUGGGGUGACUGCGUACCUUUUGUAUAAUGGGUCAGCGACUUAUAUUCUGUAGCAAGGUUAACCGUAUAGGGGAGCCGUAGGGAAACCGAGUCUUAACUGGGCGAAUGAGUUGCAGGGUAUAGACCCGAAACCCGGUGAUCUAUCCAUGGGCAGGUUGAAGGUUGGGUAACACUAACUGGAGGACCGAACCGACUAAUGUUGAAAAAUUAGCGGAUGACUUGUGGAUGGGGGUGAAAGGCCAAUCAAACCGGGAGAUAGCUGGUUCUCCCCGAAAGCUAUUUAGGUAGCGCCUCGUGAACUCAUCUUCGGGGGUAGAGCACUGUUUCGACUAGGGGGUCAUCCCGACUUACCAACUCGAUGCAAACUGCGAAUACCGAAGAAUGUUAUCACGGGAGACACACGGCGGGUGCUAACGUCCGUCGUGAAGAGGGAAACAACCCAGACCGCCAGCUAAGGUCCCAAAGUCAUGGUUAAGUGGGAAACGAAGUGGGAAGGCUCAGACAGCCAGGAUGUUGGCUUAGAAGCAGCCAUCAUUUAAAGAAAGCGUAAUAGCUCACUGGUCGAGUCGGCCCGCGCGGAAGAUGUAACGGGGCUAAACCAUGCACCGAAGCUGCGGCAGCGACACAAAGUGUUGUUGGGUAGGGGAGCGUUCUGUAAGCCUGCGAAGGUGUACUGUGAGGUAUGCUGGAGGUAUCAGAAGUGCGAAUGCUGACAUAAGUAACGAUAAUGCGGGUGAAAAACCCGCACGCCGGAAGACCAAGGGUUCCUGUCCAACGUUAAUCGGGGCAGGGUGAGUCGACCCCUAAGGCGAGGCUGAAAAGCGUAGUCGAUGGGAAACGGGUUAAUAUUCCCGUACUGGUGGUAACUGCGAUGGGGGAACGGAGAAGGCUAGGUUGUCCGGGCGACGGUCGUCCCGGUUCAAGCAGGUAGGCAGAGUGAUUAGGCAAAUCCGGUCACUUAAUGCUGAGAUGUGAUGACGAACCACCAAGGUGGUGAAGCAAUUGAUGCCCCGCUUCCAGGAAAAGCCUCUAAGCUUCAGGUUACCAACAAUCGUACCCCAAACCGACACAGGUGGUCAGGUAGAGAAUACUCAGGCGCUUGAGAGAACUCGGGUGAAGGAACUAGGCAAAAUGGUGCCGUAACUUCGGGAGAAGGCACGCUGGCGGUAGGUAAAGUCCCUCGCGGACGGCGCUGAAGCCAGUCGAAGAUACCAGCUGGCUGCAACUGUUUAUUAAAAACACAGCACUGUGCAAACACGAAAGUGGACGUAUACGGUGUGACGCCUGCCCGGUGCUGGAAGGUUAAUUGAUGGGGUCAGCCGUAAGGCGAAGCUCCUGAUCGAAGCCCCAGUAAACGGCGGCCGUAACUAUAACGGUCCUAAGGUAGCGAAAUUCCUUGUCGGGUAAGUUCCGACCUGCACGAAUGGCGUAAUGAUGGCCAGGCUGUCUCCACCCGAGACUCAGUGAAAUUGAACUCGCUGUGAAGAUGCAGUGUACCCGCGGCAAGACGGAAAGACCCCGUGAACCUUUACUAUAGCUUGACACUGAACAUUGAGCCUUGAUGUGUAGGAUAGGUGGGAGGCUUUGAAGUGUGGACGCCAGUCUGCAUGGAGCCAACCUUGAAAUACCACCCUUUAACGUUUGAUGUUCUAACCUAGGCCCAUAAACUGGGUCGGGGACCGUGUCUGGUGGGUAGUUUGACUGGGGCGGUCUCCUCCUAAAGAGUAACGGAGGAGCACGAAGGUUGGCUAAGCAUGGUCGGACAUCAUGCGGUUAGUGCAAAGGCAUAAGCCAGCUUGACUGCGAGAGUGACGGCUCGAGCAGGUACGAAAGUAGGUCUUAGUGAUCCGGUGGUUCUGAAUGGAAGGGCCAUCGCUCAACGGAUAAAAGGUACUCCGGGGAUAACAGGCUGAUACCGCCCAAGAGUUCAUAUCGACGGCGGUGUUUGGCACCUCGAUGUCGGCUCAUCACAUCCUGGGGCUGAAGUAGGUCCCAAGGGUAUGGCUGUUCGCCAUUUAAAGUGGUACGCGAGCUGGGUUUAGAACGUCGUGAGACAGUUCGGUCCCUAUCUGCCGUGGGCGUUGGAAGAUUGAGAGGGGUUGCUCCUAGUACGAGAGGACCGGAGUGAACGCACCACUGGUGUUCGGGUUGUCAUGCCAAUGGCAUUGCCCGGUAGCUAAGUGCGGAAGAGAUAACCGCUGAAAGCAUCUAAGCGGGAAACUUGCCUCGAGAUGAGUCUUCCCUGUCGCUUUAAGCGACCUAAAGGAACGUUUAAGACUAAGACGUUGAUAGGCUGGGUGUGUAAGCGUAGCGAUACGUUGAGCUAACCAGUACUAAUGAACCGUGAGGCUUAACCUG
RNAcentral lists this ribosomal RNA (2903 nucleotides) under Proteus mirabilis. RNAcentral describes it as "23S ribosomal RNA". It matches the Rfam family "Bacterial large subunit ribosomal RNA". Lineage: Bacteria; Pseudomonadati; Pseudomonadota; Gammaproteobacteria; Enterobacterales; Morganellaceae. The record is from RNAcentral.